UACGGGGGGGAGCAAGCGUUGUUCGGAUUUACUGGGCGUAAAGGGCGCGUAGGCGGUCGUGACAAGUCACUUGUGAAAUCUCCGGGCUUAACUCGGAACGGUCAAGUGAUACUGUCGGACUAGAGUACAGAAGGGGCAACUGGAAUUCUCGGUGUAGCGGUGAAAUGCGUAGAUAUCGAGAGGAACACCUGCGGCGAAGGCGGGUUGCUGGGCUGAUACUGACGCUGAGGCGCGAAAGCGUGGGGAGCGAACAGG
RNAcentral lists this ribosomal RNA (255 nucleotides) under uncultured bacterium. Its description in RNAcentral is "partial 16S ribosomal RNA". It matches the Rfam family "Bacterial small subunit ribosomal RNA", at positions 524 to 776 of the family's 1533-position model. The record is from RNAcentral.